GACGAACGCUGGCGGCGUGCUUAACACAUGCAAGUCGAACGGAAAGGCCCUGCUUUUGUGGGGUGCUCGAGUGGCGAACGGGUGAGUAACACGUGAGUAACCUGCCCUUGACUUUGGGAUAACUUCAGGAAACUGGGGCUAAUACCGGAUAGGAGCUCCUGCUGCAUGGUGGGGGUUGGAAAGUUUCGGCGGUUGGGGAUGGACUCGCGGCUUAUCCGCUUGUUGGUGGGGUAGUGGCUUACCAAGGCUUUGACGGGUAGCCGGCCUGAGAGGGUUACCGGCCACAUUGGGACUGAGAUACGGCCCAGACUCCUACGGGAGGCAGCAGUGGGGAAUAUUGCACAAUGGGCGGAAGCCUGAUGCAGCAACGCCGCGUGCGGGAUGACGGCCUUCGGGUUGUAAACCGCUUUCGCCUGUGACGAAGCGUGAGUGACGGUAAUGGGUAAAGAAGCACCGGCUAACUACGUG
This 468-nucleotide ribosomal RNA is filed under the name uncultured bacterium. RNAcentral's name for it is "partial 16S ribosomal RNA". It matches the Rfam family "Bacterial small subunit ribosomal RNA", at positions 28 to 507 of the family's 1533-position model. The record is from RNAcentral.